Brassica oleracea var. oleracea is the source of this 1928-nucleotide RNA transcript. RefSeq lists it as uncharacterized. The transcript has 9 exons. NCBI's taxonomy places the organism in Eukaryota, Viridiplantae, Streptophyta, Magnoliopsida, Brassicales, Brassicaceae. The record is from RefSeq and is a predicted model, not a curated record.
UGAUGGGCUUCGUAUUACUUUGGCCCACCAGUAAUCUCCUUCGACGCCGCAUGUCGCUGAACACUAAUUUCACCGUCUUCUUCGUAACACACCACCAAGUAACGGAUUCAUGAUUUAUGUUGAAGCCAUAAACUCAGCAUUUAAUCUCAGUAAAUUCUCUCCCACUACUUUUAAUUCCACUAGAACCUUCGAUCUCUUCGGAUUCUUCAGGAUUUGGAUCCUAUAAAUGCGUUAAAUCUCAUUUACGGACUAUCCUUCGGCUUCGUCGAUUGGGCUUGGAUAAGAGAAACCCUAAAAGAUAGCCGAGACACCACCACAAUGGAGAGCGGCGAAUUUGUCGUAAUCUCCGAUUACGACGUUAGGAUGAAGCAAGAGAAGCGGUGGUCGUUGCUCUCUCAACUACUCGCCGAUCCGAUUCUUGCUGACGCUCUGAGGAACCCAACACUGUCGUAUGUAGUCACUCUCGUCAGCCUUGAAAAAGGAAGCGCUAUGCGACUCUCCAUCGUCAAACUCGACGGCUCCUCCUUGGGGAAUGUACUUUUAUAUUGGCAUUUUGUCGAACAUCUGGUGUGCAUUGUAGAUUUACAUUUGUUUUUUUCUUUUGGAAGAUGUGGCGGUUAUGAAUUCAGCUACUUUGAAGGAUCUGAAGAUUUUUUAUCAAGAAGAGAGUUAAUGAGAUGGAGCAAGCAAACAUGGGUCAUCGCCACAUUGCUUGAUCGUCAUGAAUACAGAUCGCAUCUGUUCCAUAUGUGACGAAGAAGGGUCUGGGAAGACACUCGAAGAGGAAGAAGCAUCAUCUCUUUCGUUCACUCCACAAGAUUUGUUAGAUAGUAGCGUGUUGUGGAAGGUGGAAGAGGUGAGGCCACUGAACCAAGUAACAGCUCUGAGCCUCUGAUGAUAGGAGGAACACAAGCGAGGUUGCAACACAGAAGGAAGUUGUGUCCUUUGGAAAAGGGCACGGACUGACUAAUAAUUACAGACUAAACGAUUGAAGCUCCGCCUAUAUAUGAACACAAGCGUUUUGGUAUUGGCACUACCAGAGGCCUCGCCUCUUCUCACUUUCUAUCCGUUGAAAGAUUUUCCGACUAUCACUCCACGGUCGAGUUAUUGCAGUCGUGGGGAUCAAUAACCUCAAUGGCAAAGCUUUGUAUAUCCUCAAUGUGGUUGCUUCUGUCGGGCCCGGUUCAUGGAUGUUCCUUCUCUCACUCUUCAAGGUCUUUCCCAAAUUGAAGAUGUGAGUUCUGCGUGUAUGUUUUGGAAUACUCAUACUAUUCAGCUUUUAAGUGUUGCUCUCCACGAUUAAUUGGGCUAUUUGUAAGGCUAUUGAUAUGUUGGAACUUCUAAAGAUAGAAGAGGAAAUGCUUUCCGCACAAUCAAGGAAAACAGUUAAAGGUGCUCUUGAUGUUCGCACAUAGAAAGCUGAAAUCUGUGGCAUACAGAUACUGCUAAGAGGCAAUACUCUAGACCGGCACAACCAAUCACUUUUGCCACAUUUGCACAAGAUGUGUUACAAGGGAGUGCUCAAGUAUCCAGGUUCACGAACAGAAGAACCAUCCUCUUAGUGCAUCAUCGUUGAUGGAGCUCUUUCUACACACAGAGAGAGAGGAUGAUAGCUCAGAUUUCCAUCCCAAGCAAACACAAAAUCAUACUCAUUGCUAAACUUAUACCCUUCCUGAGAUUACAAAAAAGGUGAUUCAACUUUGAGAAGAAAGGAAGCACGUCAUGGUGCAAUGAUAACCCUUUGAGAAGAGAGGAAGAAGACAAAGAAGAUAAUGCCGAAGACGAAGAAGCUGUGAUGAAAGCUAGAGCUGUCGAUGAUUGGAAGGAUUAUAAUCCAUGUCGUGCAUGUAACCAAAAACUCACAACUUGUGACUAAGAAGAUUAUAGACUGAUAUAUAACACACUGUUUCAUUUCCAUUCUUCGAAUC